GACAGAGGUGCCAAGCGUUAGGCGGAAUCACUGGGCUUAAAGCGUGUGUAGGCGGAUGUCUAAGUACCUUGUGAAAUCCCACGGCUCAACCGUGGAACUGCUUGGUAUACUGGACGUCUUGAGCCAUCUAGGGGCUACCGGAACAAAUGGUGUAGCGGUGAAAUGCGUAGAUAUCGGAAGGAACACCAGUGGCGAAAGCGGCUUCCUGGUCCAGCACCGACGUUCAGGCACGAAAGCGUGGGGAGCAAACAGG
This 253-nucleotide ribosomal RNA is filed under the name uncultured bacterium. RNAcentral describes it as "partial 16S ribosomal RNA". It matches the Rfam family "Bacterial small subunit ribosomal RNA", at positions 524 to 776 of the family's 1533-position model. The record is from RNAcentral.